GUGAGGAAUUUUCCGCAAUGGGCGAAAGCCUGACGGAGCAAUGCCGCGUGAAGGAUGAAGGCCUAUGGGUUGUAAACUUCUUUUCUCAGAAAAGAAUUAUGACGGUAUCUGAGGAAUAAGCAUCGGCUAACUCUGUGCCAGCAGCCGCGGUAAGACAGAGGAUGCAAGCGUUAUCCGGCAUGAUUGGGCGUAAAGCGUCUGUAGGUUGUUUAAAAAGUAUUCUGUCAAAGAUUAGGGCUUAACCCUAGAUAGGCAGAAUAAACUUUUAAGCUAGAGUUUGGUAGAGGCAGAGGGAAUUCCCGGUGGAGCGGUGAAAUGCGUAGAUAUCGGGAGGAACACCAAAGGCGAAGGCACUCUGCUGGGCCAAUACUAACACUGAGAGACGAAAGCGAGGGGAGCAAAUGGGAUUAGAUACCCGUGUAGUCC
RNAcentral lists this ribosomal RNA (426 nucleotides) under uncultured bacterium. Its description in RNAcentral is "bacterial SSU rRNA". It matches the Rfam family "Bacterial small subunit ribosomal RNA", at positions 354 to 796 of the family's 1533-position model. The record is from RNAcentral.